This 407-nucleotide ribosomal RNA is filed under the name uncultured bacterium. RNAcentral describes it as "bacterial SSU rRNA". It matches the Rfam family "Bacterial small subunit ribosomal RNA", at positions 355 to 776 of the family's 1533-position model. The record is from RNAcentral.
UGGGGAAUAUUGGGCAAUGGGCGCAAGCCUGACCCAGCAACGCCGCGUGAAGGAAGAAGGCUUUCGGGUUGUAAACUUCUUUUGAGGGGGACGAAGCAAGUGACGGUACCCUUUGAAUAAGCCACGGCUAACUACGUGCCAGCAGCCGCGGUAAUACGUAGGUGGCAAGCGUUAUCCGGAUUUAUUGGGUGUAAAGGGCGUGUAGGCGGGACUGCAAGUCAGAUGUGAAAACCAUGGGCUCAACCCAUGGCCUGCAUUUGAAACUGUAGUUCUUGAGUGCUGGAGAGGCAAUCGGAAUUCCGUGUGUAGCGGUGAAAUGCGUAGAUAUACGGAGGAACACCAGUGGCGAAGGCGGAUUGCUGGACAGUAACUGACGCUGAGGCGCGAAAGCGUGGGGAGCAAACAGG